CAAGCUCGAUUGUAAGUCCGUUCUAGUCUCGUUUUUAAUGAUUUUUACAUUUUUGGAAUCCCAGUAAUUUGAUUUAACUUAUUCUAACAAUAAUUUAACCUAGGUUUUAUAUUUGGAAAAAUACCCAUAGGUGAAAUUUGUGUAUUUUGGUGUUUUAUGAUAGAAUAUAAGGUUUUAAAUUAUGUUAGACAACUUGUGCUACUCGGUUUUAAGUGAAAACGAGCAAAAGGGCUUAAUCGGUAAAAAUACCUAAUAGUCAUAAGUACAUGUUAGAGUGAGAAUUUGAUGUUGCCAUAGAAGGGAAAAAUGAUCAGCAUGUCAUAAAACAUAAGAAAAUAGGCUGAAGUUUAAUUUACGAGCUUUGGGUCAAAAGUGUAAAUAUGUAAAAGUUUAGGGGCAAAACUGUAAUUUUUCCAAAAUAUGAUUUUGGGUCAAUUUGAAUAAUGUGAGUCCUAAUUAGACUAUAUUUUAAAUGAUAGAGCAAGGAAAACUAAAAUUCGGGCUAAAAUAGGGAAAAUACCAAGUUAUGGACGAAAUGGUAAAAGUAGCAAUUUUCGCAUACGAGGUAAGUUCAUGUGUAAAUAAUGUAGCAUAAUUGUUAUUUUUAAGUUAUUGAUGUUAAUUAUAUGAUACGCUGAUUUUUAAUCGUGAAAUAUUAUGCUUUGUGGUUAAUGUUGAGUAAUAUGCAAAUUAUGUUUACUACUUGAUAAAUAUGAAUUGCUACCGAGUAUCGGUUCCGAUAUUCCAUGGAAGACGACAAAUGUGAGAUCGAGGGAAAAAGCCCGUUUGAACCUUAGGAAUAGAUUAGGAUACAAGUGACAUGUCACUAGGAUGUUUGAGCAUUCGAACUCGUUGAGUUGAGUCCGAGUUCACUUAUGGAUGCGAAUGUCUGAACUCGUUGAGUUGAGUCCGAGUUCGAGCGAUGUAACUAGGCAUCCGAGCUCGUUGAGUUGAGUCCGAGUUCACUUAUGGAUGCGAACACCCGAGCUCGUUGAGUUGAGUCCGAGUUCACUUAUGGGCGGGUUACAUGGUAGCUUGGCUACAUAUGUGGCACUUAUGUGCAAACUUUCCAUGUAUCCGAAUUAUAUUCCGAUGUGUUCAACGGGUAAAAUUCUACUCAAAUGGAGGAAUACUCGAGAUGAAAGGGACGUAUUGGUAAGUGUUGUGAAAUGAAUACUUUGAACAGGUAUGUACUUAACCCUCGGGUUGAAAACUCGAUAUAACAACAAUAUGGUAAGAUGAUAAAUGAAAAUGUGAUAUGAAUGUCUCGAUGAUGAUUUUGCAAAUGAUGUUUUAUGUUUGCUUAUAUAGUUAUGUUACUUGCUAUUUGCAUGUGAACUUACUAAGCAUUUAUGCUUACUCCCUCCUUUUCAUUCCUUGUAGUGUUGACAAGCCAGCUCGGAAAUCGGAAACGGUCAGAGGCACGCUCACACUAUCCGUAUACCAUCUUGGCAUAAUGGCUUGUAUAUUUUGAGUAUGACAUGUAUAGCAUUAUAAUCAUUUUGUGUAUAUGGUCUUAUGAUAUGGUUAUUGAGUGGUAUGGAAAUGCUUGGUAAUGAUUAGCCAUUGGAAUGGGUAAUCAUGAUCAUAUUUGGUGUUAUGUAUGCUAAAUU
RNAcentral lists this long non-coding RNA (1613 nucleotides) under Gossypium barbadense (sea-island cotton). Its description in RNAcentral is "long non-coding RNA (GBAR_LNC009988)". Lineage: Eukaryota; Viridiplantae; Streptophyta; Magnoliopsida; Malvales; Malvaceae. The record is from RNAcentral.